Molecule: ribosomal RNA, 206 nt
Filed under: uncultured bacterium
Lineage: Bacteria
Description: partial 16S ribosomal RNA
Rfam family: Bacterial small subunit ribosomal RNA
Source: RNAcentral
GGAUUGCAGGCUGCAACCCGCCUGUAUGAAGUUGGAAUCGCUAGUAAUCGCGGAUCAGCAUGCCGCGGUGAAUACGUUCCCGGGCCUUGUACACACCGCCCGUCACACCAUGAGAGUCGGGAACACCCGAAGUCCGUAGCCUAACCGCAAGGGGGGCGCGGCCGAAGGUGGGUUCGAUAAUUGGGGUGAAGUCGUAACAAGGUAUC